GCGACUGGGCGCAGCCUGAUGCAGCGACGCCGCGUGAGGGAUGAAGGCCUUCGGGUUGUAAACCUCUUUCUUUGGGACGAAGCUGGUCUUUUGGGUUGGUGAGGGUUCCUGCUGAAGAAGCGCCGGCGAACUACGUGCCAGCAGCCGCGGUAAUACGUAGGGCGCAAGCGUUAUCCGGAAUUAUUGGGCGUAAAGAGCUCGUAGGCGGUUUGUCGCG
Molecule: ribosomal RNA, 217 nt
Filed under: uncultured actinomycete
Lineage: Bacteria; Bacillati; Actinomycetota; Actinomycetes; Actinomycetales
Description: partial 16S ribosomal RNA
Rfam family: Bacterial small subunit ribosomal RNA
Source: RNAcentral